This 377-nucleotide ribosomal RNA is filed under the name uncultured bacterium. Its description in RNAcentral is "bacterial SSU rRNA". It matches the Rfam family "Bacterial small subunit ribosomal RNA", at positions 521 to 896 of the family's 1533-position model. The record is from RNAcentral.
UAAUACGUAGGUGGCNAGCGUUGUUCGGAAUCAUUGGGCGUAAAGGGCAUGUAGGUGGUUUUACAAGUGUGAGUUGAAAUACCGAAGCUUAACUUCGAGUAUGGCUUGCAAACUGUAAGACUGGAGUGUAGAAGGGGAGACUGGAAUUCCGCGUGUAGCAGUGAAAUGCGUAGAUAUGCGGAGGAACACCGAUGGCGAAGGCACCUCUCUGGGUCCAUACUGACGCUGAGAUGCGAAAGCGUGGGGAGCGAACAGGAUUAGAUACCCUGGUAGUCCACGCCCUAAACGAUGUCGACUGGUCGUUGGGGGGUAUGAACUUCUCAGUGACGUAGCUAACGUGGUAAGUCGACCGCCUGGGGAGUACGGCCGCAAGGUUG